RNAcentral lists this ribosomal RNA (569 nucleotides) under uncultured Heterostelium. Its description in RNAcentral is "bacterial SSU rRNA". It matches the Rfam family "Eukaryotic small subunit ribosomal RNA", at positions 358 to 902 of the family's 1831-position model. The record is from RNAcentral. Lineage: Eukaryota; Evosea; Eumycetozoa; Acytosteliales; Acytosteliaceae.
CGGGUGACGGGGAAUCAGGGUUCGAUUCCGGAGAGGGAGCCUGAGAAAUGGCUACCACUUCUACGGAAGGCAGCAGGCGCGCAAAUUACUCAAUCCCAAUACGGGGAAGUAGUGACAAAAAAUACUAAUGCCUUUCCAUUUAUAUGGGGGGCAAUUGGAAUAAGUACAACUUAAAUCGCUUAGCAAAAGUGAUUGGAGGGCAAGUCUGGUGCCAGCAGCCGCGGUAAUUCCAGCUCCAAUAGCGUAUACUAAAUUUGUUGCAGUUAAAAAGCUCGUAGUUGAGAUUGAGAUUUCUUAGGUUUAGAGUCGCUUGGCCUUCGGGUUUGAGUUUGAUUCGUAAAGCUUUAUAGUAGAAUUCCAUUUUAUUAUUAAAGUUACUAAGAAAUUUCUAUCUGCCCAUGGUAGCUAGCAAUAGUUAUCAAUCGGGUGAUCUACUGUGAGAAAAUUGUAGUGYUCAAAGCAGGCGUCUUACGUUUGUUCAAUGCAGCAUGGUAUAGUAAAAUAUGACACUAAAUAUAUGUUGGUUGUAUAUUCUUAGUGUAAUGACUAAUAGGGAAGGGCGGGGCCGU